GGUGUCUAUACUAGGAGCGCACAGCGUGUCUGUACCAGGAGCGCACAGCGUGUCUAUACCGGGAGCACACAGUGUGUCUGUACCGGGAGCACACAGUGUGUCUGUACCGGGAGCACACAGUGUGUCUGUACCGGGAGCACACCGUGUGUCUAAACCGGGAGUACACAGUUUGUCUAUACCGGGAGUACACAGUUUGUCUAUACUGGAAGCACAUAGUGUUUCUAUACCGGG
This is a non-coding RNA of Pelobates cultripes (western spadefoot toad), 231 nucleotides long. Lineage: Eukaryota; Metazoa; Chordata; Amphibia; Anura; Pelobatidae. The record is from the annotation of a GenBank genome assembly.